AAAUCCAACUUUUAAACGCUUUGUGAACAGGCCCAGAGGCAAAGUCCUGGGCGCAAACCCACGAGCCGAGCUGCGAGGCUGAGAGGAAGUGCUAGUCCAGCCCAACCCCGCACUGGAUUUGGUGUGGAAACCGUCAGAGGUAAAAGGGAUCGCUCAGAUGGGGGGCCCGCGGUGAGGGCAGGAGGCAAAACCCCACCGCCCGGCGCUCCCAGCCAGCGCGCAGCGGGAGGCGGCUGUGCCGCGGGCCCGUCCUUCGCGUCCGAGCUGCCGCGCACGCCCCGCGCGGAGCGCGGCACCGGGAGCCUCCGGUGGGGCUGGGUCCCGUCUCCCGCCCCAUCCGGCGCUUUGUCCCAGCCCCGGUGGCCGGCGGCCCCGCUGCGGGCCCCCGGGCCGCGGUGACAGCCCCCGUCCCCAUAGGGCUGCGAGCCCGGGAGUCCCUAUAGGCUGGCGACCGGUCGCCCGCCGGACCUCACCCAGGCGGGACGCGGCAGGAGGACGCUCGCCCUGCCGGAGGGGCCGCCGCCGCCGCCCGAAGCGCACGCAGGCCAAGCUCAGGCGCCAAAAGCCUUGGACUUCGAAACACACGACUUCCAACAUCCUAAGCUUACCCAAAAAUUCUCGACGAAAUACGCCAUGACCAUCGUGCCGCCGCCGCGCCGGGUUCCGCGUCCGCGCCCGCCCGCCGCUGUGUAAACACGGCCCGGCCCCCACAGCACCCCCGCCUUUCGCCGCCGCCGCCUUCUUCCCAGAGACCGGCCCGCACCUUCCAGGGCGCAUGCGCCACCUAGCGGCUGCCGCAGCUGGGCGAGCACUUAGACGCCACGGCCACGGUGUGCGCAUGCGCCCUGUCCCCAUUCUCGGGUGUUGGUAGAUCUCUCUGCAUCCCGGGCGCGGCUGGGUUGAGUGUUCUCUUAGGAAUGGUGGAGAACUGGGUCCUUGAGGAGUCACCGGGGAGACUGCUCGCACUGUUUGUGGUGCGACGGGCACUGGCCCAGGGACAGAGGGAAGAGAAGGGCCAGCCAGCGGCAGUGGAGUCGGCAGGCUGGCUGCCCACUCGCUUUCUCUCCUCACAAGACUCGCUUCCCCGGCCUUCGAGGAUCUCGAACGGACUAUAGUCUGGACUCGCUGGGCUGGAGGAAACUUGGCCGCUGGCCACCCGGAGGAGACUGAGAAGCCUUUGGUCAACAGGGCGCCUUUCCUUGAACCAAAACAAAACUUUCCGAAGCCGGAAAGGAAACGCCCAGUGUCGCCUGAGAGCCCUGGAGCUGCGCGAGACCCAGGCACUGAGUGCGGCCUCGGCCUCUGACCUCUAACACGCCGGGAACAAACCAGCUGGGGCGGCCCGCAGGCCUGCGGGAGCGGAAUGUGACCCGAAACCGACGGACUUCCUGACCCAUAGUCCAUAGUUCUCUUCAGCAACUUGAACAUUUUGGAAAAAGAAACAAGUCUUAACAUGCCACGACCUAAUGGAAAAACUAAAUCCCCUUCCUACACCUUGCUUUCCAAAAGUUAAAAAAAAAUAGUUAAACGCUAUUAGAGGUCUCAAGUUCACUGUCACCAGAUCAGCUAGGUCCAGAAUCUUCAGUUCUUGAAGCCAAGCCCUACAAAUAGAUUUAUUGUAGCAUAUCACACCUCUUCAGGUGACUUAAAACAAUGAGAAUUCAUGAGAAAUUAUCUUCAUCCUCAAGUAAAAAUCAUGAGGUGCCUUUCACAUGGAUGAAAUUGUAAGUGCUUGUUGAACAAGGAAUAAUUGGAUAAUGGUAUUGUGGUCAUACUUUUUAAGAAUAUCUGUUAGAAAGAUAUAGGAUGCAGAACAUCUAGGAUUUGCUGAAAGUCAUUUAUUAUGGAUAGGGGUAUGAGUAAGGUCAUAGAUGAAAAGGGAUGAAACAAGAUUGGCCAUAGUUGCUCUAUUUUUGUGUAUCUUGUUUCUUUAUUUUGUUUCUUUAAAAAGUCCUCAUAUCACUGACAUUUACACUUAGUUUUAGGGAAAGUCAAAUUUAGAAAUAAGCUACAGCUCUCUAAGCUAUCGGUCUAACUGGAUUUUUCUCGAUGCUGAAGAACUUUUUAAAAAAUUCAGCCAUCUAGGUCACACAGCAAAUACAUUUGGCAUUAAAUUCCUAGUAUCACUAAAGUACUCCCUCCCACCGCCGCGCCCCCCCCCUUCCCCCCGCACCCUUAGACCUGGGCAAGAGAGACUUCUAUCCUGGACUCCAUGCUUUAAAGGAACUUACAUAUCACACACACACAUUAAUUUAAAAAAAAAUAGGUGCCCCUGCCGCUUGUGAUCUGAUACUGAACACUGGCUCAUAACCAUAAAUUCCCUCUCCCAGUGAAGAACACUAUUCAGGCCCCAGGAAAACUCUUCUUCCUAUCUUUUGUCUUCUGUCCUCAAAACAAACGGUGAACUCCAAAAGCAGUGAAAAUUUGUACAUAGCAUGGCUGCCCAUUUCAGAGACUGCUUUGGAGUCAGAAUUUGAGCAGCAGAAAUGCUUAGGUAAGAGAGAAGACAAAUUAACUUGUCAAAUCCUUCAUCUCAGCUUGAAUGCUAUAGAUUCCUGCAUGACAAAGUAUUGUUUCUCAGUAGUAUCAAGCAUACAUUUUCCUUUUGUUAGUGUUCCAAUGUGUGGCUAUUACCUACAGACAAUUUAGUAUAGUAUUCACAAUAGUUACUGGCCUUCAUUCGCAUUCUUCUGCUCCCCUUAAAUUUAGGAGUAGAUCUGGAAUGAAAAUAAGUAUUCUGAGUAUUUCAGGUAUUUGCAAGGUUCAUUAGGGCCGAAACACCAUAUCCUGUAAUUGCCUGAUGUUUAAGUUGUGGAACUUUAUAGUAAACAGUGAUUAAGGUGACUAAAUUUCAGACAAGACUGUGUAGUAUAGGAAGAGCGUGGAUGGUAUCAGCCUCCUUCUGCACUCUCAAGUGAGGUUUCCAGGGAUGAACAUACAUUCUGGCAGAGCAUAGAUAAGCUCCUGAGUGGGUAGUGCUGGGUGGGGUUACAGGCAUGAGCCACCGAGCUUAUAUGCGUUAAAGUGUUUGUGCCACACUCUCUUAGACUUUGCUUAUCAAAAUGUAUUUCAUUUUGAAAUUAUUAAAAACCAACAUAGAUAACAACAGUGUACAAGUCACUGCCUAUAAUACCUGUCACUUAAGAGUCAGUAAAUGUUCAGUGAAUGAAUGAAUGAUGACAUCUAUCAUAGAAAUGUCAAGGUAGAUGAGACCUUGAAUAUGUAAUAAUUCCAUUAUCUUUUACACAUUCUCUUUUUUUUUUUUUUUUUUGAGACAGAGUCUCGCUUGGUUGCCCAGACUGGAGUGCAGUGGUGCGAUCUCAGCUCACUGCAACCUCCACCUCCCAGGUUCAAGCGAUUCUCAUGCCUCAGCCUCUCAAGCAGCUGGGACUACACAUGCCCACCACCACGCCUGACUAAUUUGUGUAUUUUUAGUAGACACGGGGUUUCACCACGUUGGCCAGGCUGGUCUCGAACUCCUGACCUCAAGUGAUCCGCCUGUGUGGGCCUCCCAAAGUGCUGGGGUUACAGGCAUAAGCCACCGCGCCCAGCCUACUCAUCCUCUUUAAUUGGUGCUUGAUCCUAGAGUUU
This 3591-nucleotide long non-coding RNA is filed under the name Homo sapiens (human). RNAcentral's name for it is "non-protein coding lnc-ZNF366-18:1". The record is from RNAcentral. Lineage: Eukaryota; Metazoa; Chordata; Mammalia; Primates; Hominidae.